GAGUUUGAUCCUGGCUCAGAACGAACGCUGGCGGCAGGCCUAACACAUGCAAGUCGAGCGCUACCUUCGGGUGGAGCGGCGGACGGGUUAGUAACGCGUGGGAAUAUACCCUUCACUAUGGAAUAGCCUCGGGAAACUGAGAGUAAUACCAUAUACGCCCUUCGGGGGAAAGAUUUAUCGGUGAAGGAUUAGCCCGCGUAAGAUUAGAUAGUUGGUGGGGUAAUGGCCUACCAAAR
This 236-nucleotide ribosomal RNA is filed under the name uncultured Roseobacter sp. Its description in RNAcentral is "partial 16S ribosomal RNA". It matches the Rfam family "Bacterial small subunit ribosomal RNA", at positions 9 to 273 of the family's 1533-position model. The record is from RNAcentral. Lineage: Bacteria; Pseudomonadati; Pseudomonadota; Alphaproteobacteria; Rhodobacterales; Roseobacteraceae.